Molecule: long non-coding RNA, 984 nt
Organism: Tympanuchus pallidicinctus (lesser prairie-chicken)
Lineage: Eukaryota; Metazoa; Chordata; Aves; Galliformes; Phasianidae
Exons: 3
Source: RefSeq, a predicted model, not a curated record
AAAAAAAAAAAAAGACUGGAAGGAGCCAUGUCCCUGUUUCACAGCAGUAUCAGAAGUAUCUCUAUCACACCUAAGGAAAUUUUUUCCAAGUGGUUCUUGGACAAGUCUUCCUUUUUCCAUAUGGAGUCCAUUACAUUUGCUUCUAUUGCUGGUGGAGUUUUUUCUUCUGUCUCCAAAAUAUAUGUUAUUUAUUCUGGUAUUUUCAGGAAAUGGAAGCUGGGUUGAACACUCUAAUACUACUUCUUUGUGGAAAGCCAAAAUCAAAGAAAACACUUUCUAUGUCUGACUGUGGGAUCUGAAAAUAAUGUCUCCUAAUAAUGUUUUUCAUUCCUGGAGAAAGGAAUUUCAUCAUCUCAGGCAGGCUGCUAGGAAAGACCAAGCUCCAUUCUACUGAAGAAAAUACCAAGGACAGAGGAUGUUCAGUUGCUAAGAAACUGAGAGCAGCUUUGAGAGGUAAGGUGAUCUUUCCAGCAUUUAUGAUCCAGUUCUUCAGGAGUCUUAAAUACAAGACUUUAAAUGUUCAGUUUUGUGCCAAUGGGGAUAACUGAAAAUGAGAAUGAUAUCUGUACUACAAUCAGUUUUUUGGUCAUCACUGGUGAAAGUGAUGGUAAUGAUGAAGUGAAGGUAAUAAUGGUGACUGUGAUGAAAAAAAGCAUUUUGUAGCUGAGAAUUUGCUCUAUGAAAUAAUGUUUUUGUGCUCUUUGUAUCUGUUGCAGUUCCUGUGGAAAUAAACAGGAGAUAUUACUUUUGGAGCGAACAAUGUGGUAUAGUUCUUAUUUAAAAUAACUGCUCUUCAAUUGUUUCUAGUUAGAAACAUGCAGUGAUGAUCAAUGUGUUACUUUGCCAAUCAUUUAAUAAACAUUCUCAACGUAAUCUUAAAUGAAUAAAUGACUACUGAAAUGGCUAGAGCAAAUGUCAUCAAUCAAUCUCAUAUACCCAAUAUGUAAGCUGUUUCAUUGGAGUAAAACAUAUGGUUGUAGUUUA